GGGAAACUGUUGCCAACAAGG
Molecule: non-coding RNA, 21 nt
Filed under: Rattus norvegicus (Norway rat)
Lineage: Eukaryota; Metazoa; Chordata; Mammalia; Rodentia; Muridae
Source: RNAcentral